GGCUGGUUAUCUCAGUCAGUUGAGAGUGGCGCUAACAACGCCAAGGUCGUGGGUUCAAUUCCUGCUCGAUCCC
Molecule: transfer RNA, 73 nt
Filed under: Apaloderma vittatum (bar-tailed trogon)
Lineage: Eukaryota; Metazoa; Chordata; Aves; Trogoniformes; Trogonidae
Rfam family: tRNA
About the family: Transfer RNA (tRNA) molecules are approximately 80 nucleotides in length.
Source: Rfam by way of RNAcentral